Molecule: ribosomal RNA, 253 nt
Filed under: uncultured bacterium
Lineage: Bacteria
Description: partial 16S ribosomal RNA
Rfam family: Archaeal small subunit ribosomal RNA
Source: RNAcentral
UACCAGCACCCCGAGUGGUCGGGACGAUUAUUGGGCCUAAAGCAUCCGUAGCCGGUUCUACAAGUCUUCCGUUAAAUCCACCUGCUUAACAGAUGGGCUGCGGAGGAUACUAUGGAGCUAGGAGGCGGGAGAGGCAAGCGGUACUUAGUGGGUAGGGGUAAAAUCCGUUGAUCCAGUGAAGACCACCAGUGGCGAAGGCGGCUUGCCAGAACGCACUCGACGGUGAGGGAUGAAAGCUGGGGGAGCAAACCGG